UAGGGAAUCUUCGGCAAUGGGGGGAACCCUGACCGAGCAACGCCGCGUGAGUGAAGAAGGUUUUCGGAUCGUAAAGCUCUGUUGUUAAGGAAGAACGAGUGUGAGAAUGGAAAGUUCAUGCUGUGACGGUACUUAACCAGAAAGGGACGGCUAACUACGUGCCAGCAGCCGCGGUAAUACGUAGGUCCCGAGCGUUGUUCGGAUUUAUUGGGCGUAAAGCGAGCGCAGGCGGUUAGAAAAGUCUGAAGUGAAAGGCAGUGGCUCAACCAUUGUAGGCUUUGGAAACUGUUUAACUUGAGUGCAGAAGGGGAGAGUGGAAUUCCAUGUGUAGCGGUGAAAUGCGUAGAUAUAUGGAGGAACACCGGUGGCGAAAGCGGCUCUCUGGUCUGUUACUGACGCUGAGGCUCGAAAGCGUGGGGAGCGAACAGG
This 429-nucleotide ribosomal RNA is filed under the name Bacteroidota bacterium. Its description in RNAcentral is "Bacteroidetes bacterium partial 16S ribosomal RNA". It matches the Rfam family "Bacterial small subunit ribosomal RNA", at positions 355 to 776 of the family's 1533-position model. The record is from RNAcentral. Lineage: Bacteria; Pseudomonadati; Bacteroidota.